CUGAUAUUGCCUGUUUUCAAUGAAAGAAAGAAAAAAAUGUUUUCUUACUUAACAAGUUCCGAUCAACUUGAUCUGUGCAUACGGUUUCAUGCAGCGCUAUUUCAGGCAUAAUCACAGUACACAGUACACAAUUGAAAUGACGUCAAAUUGCGCUAAAAUGUUUUUGGAAAUCUCGCAUACCUGGUAGCUCUAUAGACUGUGCAUUUUUGAAAAGCUCGCUCAUUCUGGCCUCUUCUGGAACAUAAUUUAUUUUAGGUAUCAAUUUCUAGGUAGAGAUUCAUUGAUUUCAUCUUGGUUUCAAUUUGUGAGUUUAAAUAACUUGCAACCAAAAGUAAGCGGUUUUUAGCAUUUCUCCUUGAAAAUGUUCAAGUGUUUACUCAGUACUAGCUUCUUUUUAUAUUGAUAACGUAAAUAUGCAUGGAUAAGCUUGGGUUUAAAAACUAUUACUUCUAUGAAUCUUUAAAAUCCUUAUACAUGUAUUACAUGAUAUAAGUAAAAUUCGUUAUUUUGUAUUUUUCAUCCGCCUUUUAAAGUAAAACAACGUCGUGUGUUAAGAAAAAAAAACUAAAGGAAAGAAAAAAAAUUAUGUCAUAAUUUGUGUAUGAAAACAUGAAAAAUGGUCCGUAUCUUGAACAUGCCCCCAUUUCACUACAAUGAAGGCAAGCCAUCAACAACAAGAAUCUCCGCAAAUACAAUUGAAACACCAAUUCAAGAAAGCAGACAAUACCUUAAAUUCCAAGGAAGUGUUUCGCAGAAAGAAGUCACGACCAGUGAGGAGUCUUCGGUAGAUUAUCUUGAACCCUUUCCUGUUUAAGUUGACGUCAUUUAAUUCAUGCAUUAAUACCAUAUAUGAUCGUGGCUUUUUCCCCCGGGAUAUUCUUUUUUGUAUGUUUAUUUCAUCUUAAUUCCUUAGUUAUGAAGUUCUAUUUGACUAUCGUUGCAUUAAGGAUAUGGAGAUAACGAACAGUAUUCAAUCUUAA
Saccostrea cuccullata (small rock oyster) is the source of this 980-nucleotide long non-coding RNA. RefSeq lists it as uncharacterized. NCBI's taxonomy places the organism in Eukaryota, Metazoa, Mollusca, Bivalvia, Ostreida, Ostreidae. The transcript has 3 exons. The record is from RefSeq and is a predicted model, not a curated record.